AAAUUGAAGAGUUUGAAUCAUGGCUCAGAUUGAACGCUGGCGGCAGGCCUAACACAUGCAAGUCGAACGGUAACAGGAAGAAGCUUGCUCUUUGCUGACGAGUGGCGGACGGGUGAGUAAUGUCUGGGAACUGCCUGAUGGAGGGGGAUAACUACUGGAAAUCGGUAGCUAAUACCGCAUAACGUCGCAAGACCAAAGAGGCGGACCUUCG
This 211-nucleotide ribosomal RNA is filed under the name Escherichia sp. Its description in RNAcentral is "partial 16S ribosomal RNA". It matches the Rfam family "Bacterial small subunit ribosomal RNA", at positions 1 to 217 of the family's 1533-position model. Lineage: Bacteria; Pseudomonadati; Pseudomonadota; Gammaproteobacteria; Enterobacterales; Enterobacteriaceae. The record is from RNAcentral.